This is a long non-coding RNA of Labeo rohita (rohu), 749 nucleotides long. RefSeq lists it as uncharacterized. NCBI's taxonomy places the organism in Eukaryota, Metazoa, Chordata, Actinopteri, Cypriniformes, Cyprinidae. The record is from RefSeq and is a predicted model, not a curated record. The transcript is spliced from 3 exons.
CAAGAAGAAGAAGAAGGAGAAUUUAGCCAUUUCAGAGAGUCGCUGGCUGCGUUCGAAACCGCAUACUCAAUGAGAGACAUCAGGCAGCUGCUGGAACAUCUCGCAUUUGGAGACUGGUGAUUUUACAUUUGAAAAAUGGAUGUUGUUGAGCCAGACGAUGAGAAAGACCAUGAAGACACACCACUGAACCCCACAACCUUGAGGCAAGAGCAGAAGAACAUGUGCGGGACAAUCUGGCCAUCACCGUGUCUGCUCGACUACCUGUGAAACAUUUAAACAAUUCAGUAAAACAUUUUACAAUUCAUGUUGUCAGCACUCCAUUUCUUGACAAACUUCAUUUCAUGUUUACACUCACAUGCUAAUUUUUGCUGUAGCUCUAUUACUUUUGUAGUGGGCUAAACCACAUUUCCAGGAUGCUGCUGUGGAUUUCUCCUUUUUCACUGCUCACACCAGUCUGCAGACAUUUCAGAUCAUACAAGAAGCACAAAUAUAAUACAAAAGCAUUCAUUUUAACUUUUUUUUUUUUUGUUUUUACAAUAAUUUUAUUAUUUUUUUUUUUUAUUUCUGUAUUAAAGUAACAAAAUGAUCUUACUUUAUAUUUUUGUUUCAGUUCUUUCUUUCUUCCCACAAACACUGCCGUCACCUGCUCCACCACAAAAGAUCUGCAGAAAAUGCACAGAAAUCACAAAUCAAAAGUGCUGUAAUAACUCUGUUUGAUGUUACAAUAAAUAAAAUAAAGUACAACUUAA